GUUCCAACGGUACAAGAUGAGCAUGCGUCCCAUUAGCUAGUUGGUGUGGUAACGGCACACCAAGGCGACGAUGGGUAGGGGUCCUGAGAGGGAGAUCCCCCACACUGGUACUGAGACACGGACCAGACUCCUACGGGAGGCAGCAGUGAGGAAUAUUGGUCAAUGGGCGCAAGCCUGAACCAGCCAUGCCGCGUGCAGGAUGACGGUCCUAUGGAUUGUAAACUGCUUUUGUACAGGAAGAAACACUCCCUCGUGAGGGAGCUUGACGGUACUGUAAGAAUAAGGAUCGGCUAACUCCGUGCCAGCAGCCGCGGUAAUACGGAGGAUCCAAGCGUUAUCCGGAAUCAUUGGGUUUAAAGGGUCCGUAGGCGGUUUUAUAAGUCAGUGGUGAAAUCUGGUCGCUCAACGAUCAAACGGCCAUUGAUACUGUAGAACUUGAAUUACUUGGAAGUAACUAGAAUAUGUAGUGUAGCGGUGAAAUGCUUAGAGAUUACAUGGAAUACCA
RNAcentral lists this ribosomal RNA (505 nucleotides) under Flavobacterium inkyongense. RNAcentral's name for it is "bacterial SSU rRNA". It matches the Rfam family "Bacterial small subunit ribosomal RNA", at positions 206 to 711 of the family's 1533-position model. The record is from RNAcentral. Lineage: Bacteria; Pseudomonadati; Bacteroidota; Flavobacteriia; Flavobacteriales; Flavobacteriaceae.